AAGGCUGAAUGAGUCCAGAAGACUCUCGGCGGACAGCAUAGGAAUAAGAGAGCUGGACAUCUAUGGGAUCAGCCUAACGGUGCGUGAAAGCAGAGGGUCUCAGCGGCUCUGUAUCCCGGCCAAAGGAGCGAUGUUGAUCAGAAAGGCACUGGAAACGGGUGAGAAAGUUGCCAGACCGUCUGCCAAGAGCCCCAGCCUGGGAUCAGGGCCUUCACGUUGCUGGGUGGAACAGCAGGCUAUUUGUUGGCAAAACAAGCCCUUUUCACAGCCUGUCGUAGAUACGUGGCAGUACAUGGGACGCCGGCAGCUGCUAAAUAAGGUCAUGGCAGGGACGUUCUCUUUUUUUUUCAAACACAGAGCCAGACAGGACAGUGUACGGGAGUUAGUUUCUAAUGCUGAAACUCCUGAGCUGUGCAAACAGCAAGCGGACGGCUUGACAGAAUGUCAGGAACGGGAGCCGAGGGAAAGGAUGUCAUGCCUGGGCUGUCGGGGAGAUUAAGCAGCCGACGAGGCGAGUUUUGGGUAUUUACUGUGACAGAAGGGAAUCUGGGAAAAGAACAGCCUGGAGGAAGCUCUUCCGAGACCCUCUUUGCACCCGCAGAUCCACGAGACGCAGCACUGAGCUUGAAACGUGACCCAGGCGUUAGCCCACACUGCUGGCCCGGGAACAGCACAGUGCCACAACAGGCUUUGUUGAGCAUCCCACAGCAGAAGAUAAGGAAAAUCAAAGUGCGAGGAGGAAGAUGACUGAUCACAAGACAUAUAUUUUCAACAGCGGGCAGCUAAUAAGUUUUGCUUGUGGACAGAUGUAAGUAUCCAGGUGUCCUGUUCUAGCACAGACGUCCCAUUUGACUCCCCAAUAGAGCACUUAGACUCGAAAAGCCUUGAUUCAUCUUGAUAACUCCUGACAUGCUCGGCGUCUGCAGACCUUUCUGCUUUUACAACAAAAUGCAGAUCCUCCACUUGCAAUGUCACCAGUGAUAGAUGAACAGGUACACAAGCCUAUAUCAGUUUGUGGCUGCUGUGUGUCACAUGACAAGCUUGAGAGCCCCCCUUCACUCGUGCCCCCUCAAAAAUGUUGCCUCUGACACUACAAUACAAAAGUAUUUGUCAAAUAAAUGAAACAUGAUGAAACAUUCAUUUUAGUUGAAACUGUUAUUGAUUACUUCUAGAAUUGCAGCAAUACAUGACAUGGUAAAAAAUGACUGAAUGAAUAAUAGGCUACUUAAAGUAGGUUAAGAUGAAUUUUAAAAUUGUGACCCCUAAAAGCACAAUUGGCCACUGUCUGGCCUAGACAGUAAAGGGCCUUUUUUUUAGACUCCCAAAGGCUAAAAAUCUAGUUUUGGUAGAAUGUUUCCCCUACUUUUUGGUAAAUAAUCAUGAUAUUUCGUUUGGUAGCAGUGCAAUGGAAGGAAAUUGUAAAAACACAGUUUCAGAAUCCAAAUGAUAAAUGCAGUGUGAAUUACGAAACUGAAAACUUUGUUCUAAAUGACUGUAGUAAAGGAGGCUAUUUUCCAGACUCCCAGAACAUACAAAGCCAGUUUCUGGUGGAAUGUUUCACCUAUAUUUUGGUAAAUAAUCAUAACAUUUUGAUUGGUGGUGGUGCAAUGGAAAGAAAUUGUGGCCAGGCAUGUAAAAAUACAGCUUUAGAAACCAAGAAGCAGCUGUUUUAUUGAAUGUCAUGCCCCUUAUUAAUAUUCAUGUCUAAGAUGUUCCCACCCACUUUUCAGAUCAUCCUUAUGCCCUUGGUAGCAAGACAUGCAAAUGUAUUAUUAUUCACAUGUAUGCAAUUUGUGAGUAAGCCAUCUUAAAGUAAUAGUUAAUCAUAAAAAAUGAAAUUCAUGUCAUCAUUCACUCAUGUCGUUCCAAACCAAAGGCUUGAGUUUAUUCUGUGGAACAUAAAAGAAGGUAUUUUGAAGGGUAUUUUAGCCCAUAUAAUGAAAGUCAAAGGGGACCAAAACAACAUCAAACC
Cyprinus carpio (common carp) is the source of this 1972-nucleotide long non-coding RNA. RefSeq lists it as uncharacterized. NCBI's taxonomy places the organism in Eukaryota, Metazoa, Chordata, Actinopteri, Cypriniformes, Cyprinidae. The record is from RefSeq and is a predicted model, not a curated record.